UGAGGAACAUGACUUUCGGUGGGGGAGUAGCCGGCCCAACGGCCGGGUAAUACCGCGUACGACCUUUUGGGGACAUCCCCGAUUGGUGAAAGCAGCAAUGCGCCGAAAGAGUGCCUCGCGGCCUAUCAGCUAGUUGGUGGGGUAAUGGCUCACCAAGGCGACGACGGGUAGCUGGUCUGAGAGGAUGGCCAGCCACAGUUGGGACUGAGACACGGCCCAGACUCCGUACGGGGAGCAGCAGGG
Molecule: ribosomal RNA, 243 nt
Filed under: uncultured bacterium
Lineage: Bacteria
Description: partial 16S ribosomal RNA
Rfam family: Bacterial small subunit ribosomal RNA
Source: RNAcentral